This 253-nucleotide ribosomal RNA is filed under the name uncultured bacterium. RNAcentral's name for it is "partial 16S ribosomal RNA". It matches the Rfam family "Bacterial small subunit ribosomal RNA", at positions 524 to 776 of the family's 1533-position model. The record is from RNAcentral.
GACGUAGAGUGCGAGCGUUGUCCGGAUUUAUUGGGCGUAAAGAGCUCGUAGGCGGCUCGUCGCGUCAGCUGUGAAAACCCGCGGCUUAACCGUGGGCUUGCAGCUGAUACGGGCGGGCUAGAGUUCGGUAGGGGAGACUGGAAUUCCCGGUGUAGCGGUGAAAUGCGUAGAGAUCGGGAAGACCAUCGGUGGCGAAAGCGCUCUACUGGACCGCAACUGACACUCAGGGACGAAAGCUAGGGGAGCGAAUGGG